GCUCCAGGUGCGGGGGCGUGAGGGCGCGGGAGGGGGCACUGGGGCGACAUCCCCGCGGUGGCGUCGCGAGCGGAGACCCGGCCCCUCGGUGUGGGAGAUGGCCCUACGAGUUUGUCUUGAGCGCCGGGCGGACACGGCCGCGGGGUGCGAAAGGGCCGUUUAUCCGGAAGAGGGGAGCCGGGCCUGGGCAGCGGCAGCACGUCAGAGCCCAGGGGCCUCUGAAUACUCGUGAGGGAGCGCCCUGCUCCCUCUACCCAGCUUGUCGAGGUGGACCGUGCACUCCCCCUGGGGCAAAUGUGUGGGCACGUCGCCCGUGACGACGAUGUCACCACUGUUUUUUCAGGUAGUGCCACAGCCCUCUUUACGUGGUGCACUGCCUCUACCUGGUCCUCCUGCAGGGGAGGCUGAGUGUAGCCCCUGUGCUAACGCGGCCCUUCUUAGUGGGCAGGUUUAGACGCUAGUUUUUGGCUUGGGCAGCUGCAUUUGUAGGCUGGAUUUCCUUUGUGAGGUGAAAAUGAUUAGGUCUUGCAGGGACGUUGUGAAUAUUCUGGGUUGAGUAGUGAGGGGUCCCAACUGCCGUGUCCUGUGCCUGCGGGUAUUUCUCCUAAUAUAAUCUUGUAUCUGUUAGUUUAGGAUUUACAUACGCUCGCUCUCUUUUUUUUUUUUUCUUGGUUCUCUUCCUUUUCACCCACUUCCCUACCAACUCCUGCUCAUCUCAGACGUCACUUCCUCUGAGAAGCCUCCCCUCUUAUCAGGACCCAUGUGGGCCUCUUUUCCACCUGCUCACGGGGUCAUUUCCCUGGUCCCAUCACACCUACUGUCACUGGUACUUCAAUCCAUCAGCAUCCUAAUGGUGGGGUCCACAUGAUCCUUAAGGUCCUAAGGAUGUGGCAGUCACUGGCCUUCCCUCCCCCUUCCCUUCAGGGAGCUGUGGCUGGGACCUCCCCUCUGGCUGAUCAAGGAGGAGGAAGCAGCGAUGUCUGCCUUAGGGACUGCAGCUCCAUACCUGCAUCAUCCUGCUGACAGUCACAGUGGCCGGGUCAGUUUUCUGGGGCCCCAAGUCCCUCCAGAGGUGGCAGCAAUGGCCCGGUUUCUGGGAGACCUGGACAGGAGCACAUUCAGAAAGUUGCUGAAGCUUGUGGUUAGCAGCUUGCAGGGAGAGGACUGCCGAGAGGCCAUGCAGCACCUGGGUGCCAGUUCCAGCCUGCCAGAGGAGCAGUUAGGUGCCCUACUUGCUGGCACACACACACUACUCCAACAGGCUCUCCGGCUUCCCUCUCCCAGCCUGAAGCCUGAUGCCUUCAAGGACCAACUCCAGGAGCUCGGCAUCCCCCAAGACCUGGUUGGGGACUUGACCAGUGUGGUUUUUGGUGGUCAGCGCCCCCUCCUGGACUCUGUGGCCCAGCAGCAGGGUUCCUGGCUUCCCCACAUUGCUGACUUUAAGUGGAGGGUGGAUGUGGCAAUUUCCACCAGUGCCCUGGCCCGCUCCCUGAAGCCAAGCAUCUUGAUGCAGCUGAAGCUUUCAGAUGGGUCAGCAUAUCGCUUCGAGGUUCCCACAGCCAAGUUCCAGGAACUGCGGUACAGUGUGGCGCUGGUCCUGAAGGAGAUGACAGAUCUGGAGAGGAGGUGCGAUCGCAGACUGCAGGACUGAGCCUCCCUUGUCAGCAUUGCAGCUGGUGCCAGAAUGCAACUUGCAUUUCCUCUAGUUGGAUGCUAGACUGCAUGUCACCCCUUCCCCAGGUUUUUUUUGUUGUUGUUGUUGUUGUUGCUUCUGAGUGUGGUAAAGUGACAGUCUGGGGUCCAAAUCAGGGUCCUCUGAAUAUGCCUUUGCUCAGCCUGACCCCACUAAGCAUCUGGGCCCUUUUUCUUGUUUGCUUUCAUAAAUGCUGUUUUUGGUGUGGGCACUUUUGUCUGUCUUAAAUCCCUGCCCUUGUGGGGCUGAUAUCGUUGUGGGUUGGGAAGCGGGGGAAACAUUACAAAAUGCAUAGUAAACAGUGGGUACAGCUUAUCAAGGGGUGACAAAUGUGUACUUAGUUUUGAGCAAGGUGGGGUAUAGGCUGUGAGGACAUGCCUGCCCCUAUACGCUGUAUCAUGGCUGGACUUCCUGGAGAACAUGGUAUCUGAGCAGACUUGAAAGACAGGAGUUGGGGGAAUGAAGUCCACUGGGGGACCAGCUGGUGCACAGGUGAUGAGUAGAGAGAGACCAGGUAUAUUGGAUGUCACGUGCCUCCAACCAAGUAGGAGGAGGUCAUUGGAGGGAGGUAAAGCUGGGGAGGGUACACAGGUCAGGUCUGAGAAAUUCUGCUCAAAGUAUUGUGGUUGAAGUCUAAGCCAAAGUGGGAGUCCCUGAGGGUUUUCAACAGAGGAAGGAUGUACUCUGGUGGUUGUUUUAGAAGGAUAACACUUCUAUUAUUUUAAAGGAUAACAUUAUCCAGGGGUGGUGGUAAAUAUGUGUAAUCCCAGGCACUUGGGAGGCUGAGGCAGGAAGAUUGCAAGUUCAAGACCAGCCUCAGCAACUUAUUGAGACCUUUUCUCAAAAUUAAAAAUAAAAAGGAUGGGGAUGUAGCUCAGUGAUAGAGUGCCCCUGGGUUCAUUAUCCAGUUCCAUGAAAAUAAAUAAGUAAAAGGAUAAUACUGUUUCUGUGUUUAGAGUAGUAUGUAGGGGAACAGGGAGGAGGUUGAGAGUCCACUAUGAGGGGUGCUGUUGUAAGGUGGAGCUGCUGGAUAGGGUAGGGGGCCUUUCUGAGUGCCUCCAGGGUAGCUAUGUUGGGGGGGGGGUGUAUGGCCAGCUUUGUAGUCCUCAGAAUAGCCAUUCUCUGGCUAGGGGUCUUAGGGCUGUCAGACUAUCUGCUUGAGGGGUCCCUGCUUCCUGCACUUUUUUAGUCUACAUCUGGUUGGUUCUCUGCUGAGAAACCAGUUCAUACAUCUCAUAGGAUAAUCAGGCCUAAGUGCAGGAACUUCUGAGAACAGCAAAUAAAGUUUGCUGUUCCGGGCCAGCCUGUUACUCACAUAGGCUGUUUGAAAAAUGCUUGGUUUCUUCCAUCUCAGUGAACACCUUUUUUUCUCUUGAGUGAGAACUACAGCUGUGGCAACUUAGGUGUGGGCCACAGGGAAAGGAAAAGGCUGCCUUUUGAGGACAGAGGGCUGCCAGGGAGGCUGCUGUGUUUCUAGAGCUGGAGGAUUCACAGGCCUGGCUCAGCUAAGGGUGCAGAAUGCCCCUGUGUCCUUCAGCCUCAGCUGGGUCCCCCAGGACCACUGGCCCACCUUGAAGGGAACAAGGAGAUCCAGACCCGCAAAAAAGGAUGUACACAAGUAAGCAGAGUGCCCAUGUCAACCUUAUCCAGUGACAGAGCUUUUUAUGUCACAUACUUAUGAUCUCAACUAUUAGAUGUGUUGGAGACUAUGUACUCAUGAUACAUUUGGAAAUAAAACAGGAAUGUAGGGACAAAAAUUUUUUACUUAAGUCCCUCCAUACAGUGGCACUGAGGCCAGAGGAUCCCAAGUUUGAAGCCAGCCUGGCAACCUAGUGAGACCCUGCAUCAAAAUAAAAAUUUAAAAAUGGCUGGGAAUGUAGUUCAGUGGUGGAGUGUGCCUGGGUUCAAUACCCAGUACUGGAAAGAAAAAAAAAGUCCCUUUGCCCACAUGUAAAGCAUCUUGACACUGCUAUGAGUCUAUCUAACUGUCCACAUGGCUCUGUGGUAAAGUUCAAUCCCCAGUACUAAAAAACAAAAACAAAAAGAACAGAGAAAGAAAGGUGCCAGGCAAAGCAGUCAGAGUGAAUUCUAGGCACACCACUUCUGGACUUCUAACAUGAGCCCAAACACGUCGGCUUCACUUGCUUUAUCUUUUCAAGCUUUUUCACGAAAACAAACUUACAGCCCUUACCUCCACUGGCCAGGGCUCUAGGCACACACUGAAAGGGCAGAGGCAGAGGACUUGGAGAAGCAGGUAAUACCAUGUUCCACCUCACAGAGGGGCUUUGAUGUACCCUGAAUAGAACUGAGUCAAGACCCUUCACUUAGUAGUCUUCGUGUCUGCUUCUUAAGGAGGGAGAAAAACUGUUAAGGAAAACUGUAUUCAGGAUGUAAUGCUUUGUAAGGUCAACUACCCAGGACCACCUCAGAAGGCAGAGGGGAGAUGGCAGCCCAGGCACAUGGGGACAUAUAGGCCAUGAAGCUGGUGGGGGAGUGGAUGGAUAAGAAAACUUGAGUUUAAGGGGACUUCUGGUGAAACUGACCUAUCAGGGUUCUUGUUAAAAUGGGACAGUGCAUAAAAGAACAUGGAAGCUGGAAAGUUGUUAUGGUGAGCAAGCUAUGCCAUUAACACAGACUGCUCAUAUUUGUAAAUUCCACAAUAUCAGAAUUUGUUGAAUAAAUUCACAGGCUACAUCAGUUUUUUCAUCACCGUUAAUUUACUGAUACUUAUGGUGUGACUGUGGUAAUCACAAAUUAUUCUGUUCCAAUUUUAAUUACUAAUAUCGUUAACACCAAAGUGGAUUUAUAAGUUACAGAACCGUUAGGGAAGGGAUAACCAUGGCCUCAGAGUUUGUUUAUUGCAGUGCUGGGGAUGGAACCAAGAGCCUUGUGCUUGCCGGGUAAGAGCUCUCUACCCAUGAGCUAUAUCUCCAAUCAACCCUUUUUUAUUUUAAGACAUGUCUAAGUUGGCUAAGCUAUUCUUAACUUGCAAUCCUCCUGCAUCAGCCUCCCGAAUCGUGCGCUUUUUUAAAAAAACAUUUUUAGUUAUUAACACAAUGCCUUUAUUUUAUCUAUUUAUUUUUAUAUGGUGCCAAGAGUCGAACCCAGGGUCUCGCACGUGCUAGGCGAGCGCUCUACCGCUGAACCACAACCCCAGCUCCAGCCCUGCCGUCUUUUUGUAAGGUUUAUUUUUUGCAGCACUGGGAAUGGGUCCCCAAAAUCCAGGCCAGCGCUGCACACUGAGCCGCAGCACACCCCCAGGUUGUGCAUAGCCAAUUUGGGGCGUCAAGGUCAUCCCUUAGCUUCACCUUAUUUUUACUUCCCAGUAACCCCGCCGUACUGCCUCCUCCAUUUUACCAAGUGCUACUUUGAACUAACCUAUUGACACUGUCGGGAGACUGCGGAGAUGAAGCACCUGUAGUGCGGAGCCGGGCGGGCUGAAGCCGCAGGUGGGGCAGGACUGCCGUUCCCCUCCAGCAGUCCGCGGACCACCGUUGGCUUGGGUCCUUGGAGUCCUAGACCAGCCCCGGAAAUGAGCGGGGCUGGGCUUCAUCCCGCUUCCGGCUCUCGGUCUCCAGGGAAGGGCUGCCUGCGCAUGCGCAGCUAGAUCGUCUCGCCCCGUCUCCGGCUGGUCGGCGCACUACGCUGCUGCUAGCUGCCGAGCUCGGUCUUCGGACCCGACGCUUCCUGUGAGCCGGCACCGAGGUGAGGCUCUUCGUGGCUCCUCCCGCAGUGCAGGUAGCCGGCGGCGGCCGGGCCGGCGGCUGUGAGGGUGUCACACGGGAAGCCACGCACUAAGCGAACGAGUUCGAUGAUUGCUGGACGCGCCGGCAGGCAGGUUCCGGCCGAGGGCUCUAGUGAUGCUGGGGACACUGGGGGAGGGGGCACAGGCGGCUCUCAGAGCCUGUCGGGCGCGCGCCCGCGACCGACCACCCGAGAGGCGGGCGGAGGCUGCGGGGAGUACGAGGCCUUGCGGGCGGGGCGUCAGUCCACGCUGGGGCUGGGCCCUCGAAGCUCGCUCGCCCGCACCGCGCCGCCCGGGGUAGCGGGAGGCCUCAGGGCGCGGCACGCCAGCCUCAGGCCCGAGAUUGGACGGCCGGAGCUGCAGCGCCCGCCGCCGGCCCUCCUGCGCACUGGCGGGAGCGGGCCUAGGGUGUGGAGAGGGUACACAGGCCCCAGGAGGCCUCUGCGAGAAUGCAGGCUGCCUCCUUCCUCUGGUCGCGUCUCCGCUGUUCUUGCCGAACACGCCCAAGUCUCCUGAGGGAGAGCUGGGUGGCCGCAGACCGUGGCGCCCCCUGCUUUCUCUCGGAUUCCAUGGCGGCCGCUUCGGGGGAUGGCAGCCGAGUCCGGCCAGGAGACUUGACGUUCCUCCCCGCCAUCCGCAGUCGGAAGCCGUCUCCGGACCUGUGAGCCUUGAGGUGGGGGAAGCCGAAGAGUUGAUAAUGUGGACCCACGUCCUCCCGCAGGGGUCGCGGCUCUGAGCUUAGCGGGUCCUGGCUCCACAGCCCCCCGGACCGCGAAUCCGCUUCCAGGAGCGCGCCAGGCACCACGCCGUGCGGUCCCCGGGCGCGAUGCCGCUGACUUUCCAGGACGUGGCAGUGUACUUCUCCCCAGCGGAGGGGCAACAGCUGGGGCCCCAGCAGCGGGCGCUGUACCGGGAUGUGAUGCUGGAGAACUAUGGGAACGUGGCCUCCCUAGGUGAGAACUCCCUCUGGCUUCUGGAGCGGGGGUGGGGCAGGGGGAGGGGGUGCCUCUCUAAGGGGCUCAUGGGCUGCUUUGGCUUUUUGGAUCCCAAGAAGAAGGUCCCGCCCUCAUCCCCGGGUAACAGUCUGAUCUCUGCUGAAAGAACACUGCCCGUGAGAGAGCCUUGCUGCCCGAUUCGAGGGACUUCGCUCCCUUUGCCAGUGGCCCAGUGGUGGUGUUCCUCCCUGCCGCCCCCAGGAGAACAGGGUGAAUUCUUCCUUAAAACAAAACAAAAAACACUUCAGCCCCUGGCUUUCUCUGACCAAGCAUGGCAGCAAGCAGGCACUUCUCACCUGGCUUGGGAGACCUGGUGGGCAGAGGCCGCACAGGCUCACCCAGGUUUUCACCCUCAACAGGAUUCCCUGUCCCUAAGCCAGAGCUGAUCUCCCAGCUGGAGCAAGGCGAGGAGCUGUGGGUCAUGGAUCUUCUGGGGGCUGAAGAAUCAGAGGUCUUGAGAAACUGCCGAACAGGUGAGAAUGGGCAGGAGGCUAACCCUAAGAACCCCCCUCCCAGUUCUACACUCACUGCAGCAGUGAGGGCGGUUGGGUUGUUGUGCUUAGUCCAACCGCUCCAAGAGCAGAUGUAGUCACCACAGACAUGUGGCAUGUGCUCCUUGUUUACAAGGGCUUCCCUUACUGCUCCAUUUGCUUUACUCUAGAAAAUGUAUGCAGUGCCCAGUGCCCGUUGUAUGCGUUUUGUGGCACCUUCAUUCUCUUCUUUACAUAAUACUCUUUCUUGCUGGCUUUCUUUUGACAGUAGCUAUGGGUUGCCUGUCAUGUCCUUUUCUUCUUCACCUUUUCUUUCCUCUAACUCAGUUUGGUCAGUAGUAUUCUCUCUCUUUCCUUCUUGAGACCUGUGUCCUCAUGUGCACAUGCUUUUGCUCUCUCGCUAUCAGUGUAUUGUGGGCUGGUCUUGAAUUUAUGGACUCAAGCUUCCUACUGCUUCGGCUCCUGAGUGAAGUCACAGUUCCUGGGUCAAUAGUAUUUUUUUAUUUUUUUGGUACAGGGGAUUGAACCCAGGGGCACGCAACCACCAAACCGCCUCUCCCCAUCCUAUUUUGUAUUUUAUUUACAGACAGGGUCUCACUGAGUUGCUUAGUGCCUCACUUUUGCUGAGGCUGGCUUUGAACUCACAAUCCUCCUGCCUCAGCCUCCUGAACCACUAGGAUUACAGGCAUGAGCCACCGUGCCCAGCAAUAAUAUUUUUUUAAAUGUGUACUUUUUUCUGUUGGAUCCAGCUUCUCUACUUUUUUCAUCAGCUACUGAGGCUUGUUAUGCUUUCUACCUUUUUCUCCUCCUUCCUCUCUAUUUUUUUUUUUGUUAUUUUAUUGCUCUACACUGUCAGAACAUGUAAUUCCUUUACCCUUUACUAUUACUCCUAGCCCCACCUUUGAUGUUGUUGUUUUUUGCUGUUAAGUAUAUAUUUUUUUUACCUUUUAGUUAAUUGUUGAACCUUUUACCAGAAAUUUCUGCAUCAUUUCUCUGUUGGCUGGAGCUUGUCUUCCAGUUACUCAGAAAGACUCUUGUAAAUAAUAUGCCCCAAAUUUAUGCACAUUGAAGCCUUUUGCUUCUGGCAGUGGGUGCUAAAAUUGUUGACUUGCGAUGCUUCUUUUUGUAGAAAGGUGGAGUUAUAAGACUGAAAGCAUGGCUGUAGUUCCAGUUUGGAAAAUUUUAAUGUUAUAUUUUUGUCAUCAUUUAGUCCAAGAUAUUAUGUUUUGUGAUUUCUUUGACCCAAUGAUUAGUUGGAUGUGUGUUACUUUUCAAAACAAUUGGUACUUUUCUAUUUCUUAUUGUUGUUGACUUGUCAUUUAAUUCUACCAGGGUCAGGGAACCUAUUCUUGUAUAAUUUCAUUCUUCUCGUUUUUGCUUGCUCUUGUUUUAUGACUCUAGGAUCUCUCUCAGUAAGUAUCUGCGUGCAUGUAAAAAGGGUGGGUUCAAUGGGCUGCAGCUGGGGCUCAGUGGAAGAGCACUUACCUAGCACAUUCGAGGUGCUGGGUUCUAUCCUCAGCACCACAUAUAAAAUUAAUUAAUUAAUUAAUUAAUUAAUUAAAGAUUUUUUUUAAAAAAAGGGAUAGGUUCAAGUAGCAAUUAAGUCAAGGUGCUUCAUGGUACCAUUUAGAUAUCCCCCAGCCCUUUGCUCAUUUUAUGUGUAGUUAUUUUAUUUAUGUAUUUAUUUAUUUAUUUUUUGGGGGGGCGGUACUGGGGAUUGAACUCAAGGAUACUCAACCAUUGAGCCACAUCCCCAGCCCUAUUUUGUAUUUUUUAGAGACAGGGUCUCACUGAGUUGCUUAGCACCUCGAUUUUGCUGAGGCUGGCCUUGAACUCUUUAAUAUUUUUUUAGUUGUAUAUGGACACAAUACCUUUAUUUUAUUUUUAUGUGGUGCUGGGAAUCAAACCCAGUGCCUCACUCAUGCUAGGCAACUGCUCUACCACUGAGCUACAAACCUGGCCCUGGCCUUGAACUCUUGAUUCUCCUGCCUUAGCCUCCUGAGCCCCUGGGAUUACAGGCGUACACCACCACACCCAACAGUGUAGUUAUUCUUUAGUUACUAAGAGAAGGUGUUAAAAUACCCACAUGUGAUUGUGGAAUUGUCUUGUCUUUAAUUUUCUCAGUGUCUGGUUCAUGUACUUUGAAGCUGUGUUAUUUGUAUUAUUUUUACUUCUAAUCAUCAUUUUUAGGGAUAAGAGGAUCCCUUAUCAUCUCUGGUAAUAUAUUUGGUUCUGACUAUAUUUCAUCUGAUAUGUCAUAGCAGUUCUAGCCUUAGCCUUAUUCUUUUUUUUUUUUUUUGGUACUGGGGGUUGGACUCAGGCACUCAACCAACCCCCAAGCCACAUCCCCAGUCCUUUUUAAAUUUUUUUUUAAACUUUGUUUUAUUUGUUUAUUUAUUUUUUUAUGUGGUACUGAGGAUUGAACCCAGGACCUUGCACGUGCCAGGCGAGCCCUGUACCACUGAGCCUUUUUAAAAAUUUUUUAUUGUCAUAGAGGGAUAACAUGCCUAUAUUUUUAUUUUUUUAGUACAGUGCCUCACCUGUGCUAGGUAGGCAGUCUACCACUAAGCUAUAGCCCCAGCCCCUUAUCUUUUAAUUGUAGUGCUUAAUCUAUUAAUAUUUAAUGUCUCGUUGUGUGUGUGUGUGUGUGUGUGUGUGUGAGAGAGAGAGAGAGAGAGAUAAUGGGGAUGGAACCCAGGGCCUUAUGUGUGACAAGCAAGCACUCUACCACUGAACCACAUCUCCAGCCCUUUUUUUUUUUUUUUUUAAUUUGAAACAGGGUCCUUUUUUAUUUCUCUUUUUUGCCUUUCAUGUACUAAUUCAUUAUAAAUCUCAACCAUCCCUUCCCUCCUUUAUGGUAAAGUUAUAUGUAAUAUAUCUGUGUACAUUUGAGACAAUAUUAUAAUUUUCUUUUUAAAUCGUCAUAGAUGAUUAACAGCAGAGUUAUGUCCUGAUGAACCCAUCAUAAGUUGGAAAUCACUUAGUGCAUCUAACCUACCAAACAUGCCAGCUUAGCAGCACAGCACACUGGAGAGUACAGUUGUUGCCCUGUGAUCUUGUGGCUGCCUGGGAGUUGUGACUUCUGCCACUGCCCAGCAUUGCAAGAGAGAUCAUAGUGCCCAAGAAAAGAUUAAAAAUUCAAAAUAAUAUAGUUUCUAUUGAAUAUAUAUCACUUUGUGCUGUCAUAAGAUUGAAAAAGUCUUAUGCAAAACCCUGGGAAGUUAGUGCUGUACUUUGAAUCUGCAUUAUCCCUCAAAGGUCAACGUGUAAAAGGCUAAACUGAGGAGCCAUUGGGAAGUUGGGCUUGGGGGAAGAAGCAAGGUCAGUGGGAGAAUGCCACUGGAGAGUCUCUGGGACCCACGCCAUCCUAUCUGUUUUGUGCCUGGCCGCCAUGGAGUAAACAGGCUGCCAUGCUAGGCUCCUGCCACAAUGCGUACUGCUGCCACAGGCCCAGAGCACAAGCCAAGUGACUAUGGGCUAAGACUUCUGAAACUGUGGCCAGAAUAAGUGUCUCCUCCAUUUACCUAUCUAAGGUAUUUCAUCACAGUAAUGAAAACCUAACAGUUGAGGAACCAUUUAUAUGUAGUUUAUGAAAAAAUAAAAGAAAAAAAAUAGACUUUUUGCUGUCUCGACAUGUAAGGAGCUUAGAAGUUGCUGCGGGAUUCUAACAAGUAAAGAACUGAACAAACUGGAAAAUCAGUGACUCUUGGAUCAAUCAGAGUUGAGGUCCCAGGGCAAACCACUGCACCCAAAUUGGAUAGGCAACACAGUCAUGAUUUGUGAACAGGAACCUCCAGGGGAAAUGGUGCAGGUAGGAAACCUGAAGAGAAAUGGACAAAUUGACAAAAGCUCAGUGUGGACAAGUCUGAGCUAUAAAAAUGACAGGAGACCUGUCAUGGAGGCUCAUAAACAUUUGAGGGUUUUUUGUUUUUUGUUUUACCGCCAGAAAUGUGAUGAAUCCCACAGUGAACAUUGGGGGAAAUCUCCUUAUGCUUCUGGCAGGGGAAAGGGAAAAGAAACUUCUGAAAUAUGUCAGAGCACUAUUCCUCACGAAGCUGUUCUCUAGAUAGAUGGCCUUGCCAGAGCCUGCCUGACCUGAGCAAGGAAGCUCCCAGCCCAGCACUCUGUUCUCCCUGACCUUGUGAGGGCCCUGGAGCACAGGCUUAUGGUGCUGCAUGCCUCAUUGCACAGCCAACAUGGCAGCACUGAGGCAUGGGUGCCGCAGCUCCCUUACCCAGCUUGUCACAUCUGCCUUUUAACAAAGACCUGUAAGACACUGAAAGAAAAAUGCAGUGUGGAGAGACUGAACAAACAUUAGAAUGAGAGUCAUAACUGGCAAGAGUGUUGGAAUUACCAGAUCAGGGAUUUUUUUUAAAACUAAUAUGACUAAGGCUUUAGUGGAAAAUGUAUGAUGUACAGAAACAGAUAUAUAAUAUAGGCAGAGAGAUUGAAAUUCUAAAAUAGAAUAAAAAAUGCUAGAAAUGAAAAACACUAUAAUAGUAGUAAUGACAGAUGCCUUUGAUGACUCACUAAUAGACUGGUCAGGGUUUUGAGUAUAAUGUUAUUUGAAGGCACACUUGGAUUAGUUGUAAGUGUAGAUAGAAAACCAAUUAAAAACAAAAGUACAAGACAAGUAUAAUGAAUAUGGCGACAAGGAGACAAAGUGGAGUAAUAGAAAAUACUCAAAACCACAAAAUAAGUAGCCCAGUGAUAGAGCAUUUGUAUAACAUGUGUAAGACCUUAGGUUUGAUCCCCAGCAGUGAAGAAACCAUUUUUAAACCAGAAAAUGCAGAAAAAAGUAUAGAAGAUAAACAGGGACAAAG
RNAcentral lists this long non-coding RNA (11747 nucleotides) under Marmota monax (woodchuck). Lineage: Eukaryota; Metazoa; Chordata; Mammalia; Rodentia; Sciuridae. The record is from RNAcentral.